Molecule: ribosomal RNA, 253 nt
Filed under: uncultured bacterium
Lineage: Bacteria
Description: partial 16S ribosomal RNA
Rfam family: Bacterial small subunit ribosomal RNA
Source: RNAcentral
UACGUAGGGUCCGAGCGUUGUCCGGAAUUACUGGGCGUAAAGAGCUCGUAGGUGGUUUGUCGCGUUGUUCGUGAAAACUCACAGCUCAACUGUGGGCGUGCGGGCGAUACGGGCAGACUUGAGUACUGCAGGGGAGACUGGAAUUCCUGGUGUAGCGGUGGAAUGCGCAGGUAUCAGGAGGAACACCGGUGGCGAAGGCGGGUCUCUGGGCAGUAACUGACGCUGAGGAGCGAAAGCGUGGGGAGCGAACAGG